AUGUUGCUCUGCAGCCUGCUGAAGGUGGUCACAGCUUCAAUGUGGCUAGGAUCUGGUAUUGCCCAGAAGGUAACUCAAGUCCCACCGGCAAUGUUGGUGCAGGAGAGGGAGGCUGUGACUCUGGGAUGCACGUAUGACAUCAGUGAUUAUAGUUAUCAUCUCUUCUGGUACAAGAAGUCCACCAACGGGGAGAUGAUUUUCAUUAUUCGCCAGGACUCCUUUAGUCAGAAAAAUGAAACAGAAGGUCGCUACUCACUGAAUUUCCAAAAGGCCAGCAAAGCCAUCAACCUUAUUAUCUCAGCUUCAGAAUUCAAGGACUCAGCGAUAUAUUUCUGCGCACUGAGGAGCGCACAGUGA
Molecule: non-coding RNA, 357 nt
Organism: Otolemur garnettii (small-eared galago)
Lineage: Eukaryota; Metazoa; Chordata; Mammalia; Primates; Galagidae
Source: the annotation of a RefSeq genome assembly